RNAcentral lists this long non-coding RNA (215 nucleotides) under Sorghum bicolor (sorghum). Its description in RNAcentral is "long non-coding RNA (SBIC_LNC002806)". The record is from RNAcentral. Lineage: Eukaryota; Viridiplantae; Streptophyta; Magnoliopsida; Poales; Poaceae.
CGCGUGAGUACCUCUUAGCCGUGACAUCCGGGCGCAUCGCUGUUGUCAGGACUAAAGUAUUCGAGUUAUCACCUUUGUCGAUAGUAAGGUCAAAUCGGCUGGCACGCCUUAACGUUUGAAUCGGGUAUUAGCCCUUUGUGUUUGCAGAUCAGUUUUGCAUCAACACAUCUUUUGGCACGCCCGGUGGGACCGAUUCAAGAUCAAGAUCAACAUGU